This 499-nucleotide ribosomal RNA is filed under the name ascomycete sp. olrim345. Its description in RNAcentral is "eukaryotic LSU rRNA". The stretch from base 142 to 295 matches the Rfam family "5.8S ribosomal RNA". Lineage: Eukaryota; Fungi; Ascomycota. The record is from RNAcentral.
UCCCAAACCCCUGUGAACAUACCAUGUUGCUUCGGCGGAUCACCCCAAGCCCCUCGGGGCGCGGGGCCCGCCAGAGGACCCAAAACUCAACUGUAUUUUUUGUAUCAAAACGUAUUCUGAGUGGAAUUUUAAAUAAAUCAAAACUUUCAACAACGGAUCUCUUGGCUCUGGCAUCGAUGAAGAACGCAGCGAAAUGCGAUAAGUAAUGUGAAUUGCAGAAUUCAGUGAACCAUCGAAUCUUUGAACGCACAUUGCGCCCGCCAGUACUCUGGCGGGCAUGCCUGUUCGAGCGUCAUUACAACCCUCAAGCCCCCGGGCUUGGCGUUGGGGAUCGGCACAAGGCGGAGGGGCACCCCUAGGGAGCCCCCUCGGCCCGCCGUCCCCCAAAUUCAGUGGCGGUCACGUCGCGGCCUCCUAUGCGUAGUAGCAACACCUCGCACUGGAAGCCCCUCGCGUCCACGCCGUAAAACCCCCGACUUUUUAUCAAGUUGACCUCGAA